GGAGACGGAGAUUUCCUCUUGUUGCCCAGGCUGGUGGCUCCCCUCCAUUGUGCAAUGAUGCAAUCUCGGCUCACUACAACCUUCACCUCUAGGCUUCAAGCAAUUCUCCUGCCUCAGCCUCCUAAGUAGCUGGGAUUACAGAGACCGGGUUCUUCCAAGUUGUCCAGGCUGGUCUUGAAUUCCUGGGGUGAAGCGAUCCUCCCACCUGGGCCUCCCAAAGUGCUGGGAUUACAGGCCUGAGCCACUGUGACUACCUGAUACGUCUCUUCUCUCUUGCUGCUUUCAAAAUCCUGUCUUUUGUGGGAGGGCAGCUGCCGAGCUCUGGACUUCUACGGGAUCAUCCACUGAGGACAGGAGGACCGGGCCCUCUACAGACACUGCUCUAGUACCAGUCCUGGCUCUUUGCCCCAGGAGCAAAUUAAAAGGCAGCUUCGAUUUUCAAUCAUGGAUCUGAUGACUUUCAACAAACUUUCCUGAGGAAAGUGCUGUUCCCACCAGAAGAGAUCUCAGGACAAAUGUAGACAGCCCUGCCCACAGGGGAGAUGGUCAGGCCAGUGUGGGGGCUAAUGAAUAAAUGCUACACUGUGCCCACUCAGGUCACGACCCCCAGGAGACCUGGAGGACUGAAUGCUGCUGCCCCCAAGGAGGAGGCUGCCGUCUUAUCCCAGGAGGGAGAGCAGGAAAAUAAAAAGGUUCAAAAGGAAGUUGCUGCGUAUCCAUCUGAGGCCUCUGAGGACAGCAAAGAGC
This 747-nucleotide unclassified non-coding RNA is filed under the name Homo sapiens (human). RNAcentral's name for it is "NDUFA6 divergent transcript (ENSG00000280613.2)". Lineage: Eukaryota; Metazoa; Chordata; Mammalia; Primates; Hominidae. The record is from RNAcentral.